This 71-nucleotide transfer RNA is filed under the name Dipodomys ordii (Ord's kangaroo rat). Lineage: Eukaryota; Metazoa; Chordata; Mammalia; Rodentia; Heteromyidae. The record is from Rfam by way of RNAcentral.
GGUGGCUCAGUGGUAGAGCGCUUGCCUUUGCCUUGCAUGCAUGAGGCCCUGGGUUCGAUUCCUCAGCACCA